This 37-nucleotide transfer RNA is filed under the name Heterogynis penella. RNAcentral's name for it is "partial transfer RNA-Ser". Lineage: Eukaryota; Metazoa; Arthropoda; Insecta; Lepidoptera; Heterogynidae. The record is from RNAcentral.
AAAACUUAAAAAAAAAUUUUUUAAAUUUUAUUAAUUU